GGCUCAGGAUGAACGCUAGCUACAGGCUUAACACAUGCAGUCGAGGGGCAUCAGGAAGAAAGCUUGCUUUCUUUGCUGGCGACCGGCGCACGGGUGAGUAACACGUAUCCAACCUGCCCUUUACUCGGGGAUAGCCUUUCGAAAGAAAGAUUAAUACCCGAUAGCAUAAUGAUUCCGCAUGGUUUCAUUAUUAAAGGAUUCCGGUAAAGGAUGGGGAUGCGUUCCAUUAGGUUGUUGGUGAGGUAACGGCCCACCAAGCCUUCGAUGGAUAGGGGUUCUGAGAGGAAGGUCCCCCACAUUGGAACUGAGACACGGUCCAAACUCCUACGGGAGGCAGCAGUGAGGAAUAUUGGUCAAUGGGCGNUNNCCUGAACCAGCCAAGUAGCGUGAAGGAUGAAGGCUCUAUGGGUCGUAAACUUCUUUUAUAUAAGAAUAAAGUGCAGUAUGUAUACUGUUUUGUAUGUAUUAUAUGAAUAAGGAUCGGCUAACUCCGUGCCAGCAGCC
RNAcentral lists this ribosomal RNA (504 nucleotides) under Bacteroides fragilis. RNAcentral describes it as "bacterial SSU rRNA". It matches the Rfam family "Bacterial small subunit ribosomal RNA", at positions 21 to 516 of the family's 1533-position model. Lineage: Bacteria; Pseudomonadati; Bacteroidota; Bacteroidia; Bacteroidales; Bacteroidaceae. The record is from RNAcentral.